AUUGAACGCUGGCGGCAUGCUUUACACAUGCAAGUCGAACGGCAGCGCGGGCUUCGGCCUGGCGGCGAGUGGCGAACGGGUGAGUAAUGCAUCGGAACGUGCCCAGUAGUGGGGGAUAGCCUGGCGAAAGCCGGAUUAAUACCGCAUACGACCUGAGGGUGAAAGCGGGGGACCGAAAGGCCUCGCGCUAUUGGAUGGGCCGAUGUCGGAUUAGCUAGUUGGUGGGGUAAAGGCUUACCAAGGCGACGAUCCGUAGCUGGUCUGAGAGGACGACCAGCCACACUGGGACUGAGACACGGCCCAGACUCCUACGGGAGGCAGCAGUGGGGAAUUUUGGACAAUGGGGGCAACCCUGAUCCAGCCAUGCCGCGUGCGGGAAGAAGGCCUUCGGGUUGUAAACCGCUUUUGUUCGGGAAGAAAACCUCUGGGCUAAUACCCCGGGGGGAUGACGGUACCGGAAGAAUAAGCACCGGCUAACUACGUG
Molecule: ribosomal RNA, 484 nt
Filed under: uncultured bacterium
Lineage: Bacteria
Description: partial 16S ribosomal RNA
Rfam family: Bacterial small subunit ribosomal RNA
Source: RNAcentral